This 216-nucleotide ribosomal RNA is filed under the name Ligilactobacillus saerimneri. RNAcentral describes it as "partial 16S ribosomal RNA". It matches the Rfam family "Bacterial small subunit ribosomal RNA", at positions 140 to 350 of the family's 1533-position model. The record is from RNAcentral. Lineage: Bacteria; Bacillati; Bacillota; Bacilli; Lactobacillales; Lactobacillaceae.
GGGAUAACACCUGGAAACAGAUGCUAAUACCGCAUAGGUCAUUUGACCGCAUGGUCAAAUGAUUAAAGAUGGCUCUGCUAUCACUUCUGGAUGGACCUGCGGCGUAUUAGCUAGUUGGUAAGGUAACGGCUUACCAAGGCAAUGAUACGUAGCCGAGUUGAGAGACUGAUCGGCCACAUUGGGACUGAGACACGGCCCAGACUCCUACGGGAGGCA